This 947-nucleotide non-coding RNA is filed under the name Pachypanchax playfairii (golden panchax). RNAcentral's name for it is "12S ribosomal RNA". It matches the Rfam family "Bacterial small subunit ribosomal RNA". The record is from RNAcentral. Lineage: Eukaryota; Metazoa; Chordata; Actinopteri; Cyprinodontiformes; Aplocheilidae.
CAAAGGUUUGGUCCUGGCUUUUCUGUCAGCUCUCGUUAAAUUUACACAUGCAAGUAUCCGCCCUCCUGUGAGAAUGCCCUACAGUUUUUUACCCAAAAACAAGGAGCUGGUAUCAGGCACAACCACCUUAGCCUACAACACCUUGCUUUGCCACACCCCUAAGGGAAAUCAGCAGUGAUAAACAUUAAGCCAUAAGUGAAAACUUGACUUAGUUAUAACAAAUAAGAGUCGGUAAAACUCGUGCCAGCCACCGCGGUUAUACGAGAGACUCAAGUUGACAGCCCUCGGCGUAAAGCGUGAUAAAGAAAAAACCCUGACUAAAGUGAAACACUCUCUAAAGCUGUUAUACGCUUAUAAGAGUAUGAAAUUCGCCUACUAAAGUGACUUUAAUUAUUCUGACUUCACGAAAGCUAUGAAACAAACUGGGAUUAGAUACCCCACUAUGCAUAGCUGUAAACUUCAAUAAAAUCUUACAUUUUAUUCGCCCGGGUACUACGAGCAUAAGCUUAAAACCCAAAGGACUUGGCGGUGCUUUAGACCCACCUAGAGGAGCCUGUUCUAGAACCGAUAACCCCCGUUAAACCUCACCCUUUCUUGUCAUUCCCGCCUAUAUACCGCCGUCGUCAGCUUACCCCGUGAGGGUUUAACAGUAGACAAAAUUGGCACAGCCUAAAACGCCAGGUCGAGGUGUAGCGUAUGAAAGGGGAAGAAAUGGGCUACAUUUCCUGCAUCAGGAAAUUACGAACAGUACAAUGAAACUUGUAUAUUAAGGAGGAUUUAGCAGUAAGAGGAAAUUAGAGCGUUCCUCUGAAACUGGCCCUGAAGCGCGCACACACCGCCCGUCACUCUCCCCAAACGCCAAACAACUGUUCUUAACCCACCAUUAUAAUCAAAGGGGAGGCAAGUCGUAACAUGGUAAGCGUACCGGAAGGUGCGCUUGGAAAAAU